UAUCUUCUGUGGUGUACGUGUUCAGACUGGCAUAAACUUGAGCCUAUCUUUUUUUGCCGGGAACUAAACCGCAAUGUUGUUGUGCAUGCCCACUCGAUGGGAAGCCUGAUAUAUUGCCUGCUGUUCCCACUUGAACCAUUGGUUCAAGUUACAAGUCUGUAACGGCACCACGGUUGAUAC
Molecule: non-coding RNA, 180 nt
Filed under: Gammaproteobacteria bacterium RIFCSPLOWO2_12_FULL_52_10
Lineage: Bacteria; Pseudomonadati; Pseudomonadota; Gammaproteobacteria
Description: 6S RNA
Rfam family: 6S / SsrS RNA
About the family: E. coli 6S RNA was the first non coding RNA to be sequenced, but its function was unknown until recently. It consists of 184 nucleotides that fold into an extended hairpin structure with a large single-stranded internal bulge.
Source: RNAcentral